Molecule: long non-coding RNA, 611 nt
Organism: Cynara cardunculus var. scolymus (artichoke)
Lineage: Eukaryota; Viridiplantae; Streptophyta; Magnoliopsida; Asterales; Asteraceae
Exons: 4
Source: RefSeq, a predicted model, not a curated record
AGGACAAGGUUAAUUACGGUGAUUCAAUGUUCAUGGACACACCAAGAGGGCAACAAGAGGACACCAGAGCAUUUUGUUGGUUUCGAGGCUGUCAUCACAACUCAAUGCAUGAAUGGAUGUUGCAAAAUAAGGAGGAAGGUUCAUCUUAUCAUGAAAGUUCAUAUACUUGAACACCAGACAUGCCAAAGCUCACUAACCCCUUUAAAAGACGAAUAUGAAAUAUUUUUAGCGCACAUACAUUCUGUCUAUAUCAUAUGUUUCAAUAUGGUUUUUUCUGGUGUUACCUGACAGCAUUUAUAGCGUGGCAUGGAUUAGGAUUGAACAUUCAUUCCUGACUCGGUAAGCUUUGGAGGACCUUUAGAAACUUUAUCCUCACCAGCUCAGUCUAAAGGACCGCGAAAGUUGAAGGCUUAAUAUGGCAAGUAAAAUAGAUCUCUGGACGAGUUGCUGUUUAAGAAAAAAAAUAAAGCACUCAACACAAAAGCAUGUCUUUUGGUUACUAUUGUAAAGCUAUAUGUAGGGAUGUUGUAAUGUUGUAAUUGAAGUGUUUUGACUAUACUGUGUUUAUAACCAAUAAGCCCGUUAGCAUAUUACUCAUGGGAUUGAUUUUG